This 497-nucleotide ribosomal RNA is filed under the name uncultured bacterium. RNAcentral describes it as "partial 16S ribosomal RNA". It matches the Rfam family "Bacterial small subunit ribosomal RNA", at positions 28 to 507 of the family's 1533-position model. The record is from RNAcentral.
GAUGAACGCUGGCGGCGUGCCUAAUACAUGCAAGUCGAGCGAACAGAUCAGGCGCUUGCUCCUUUGACGUUAGCGGCGCACGGGUGAGUAACACGUGUGUCCCCUCCCUAUCAGACUGGUAUCACUUCGAGAAACCGGCGCUAAUCCCGGAUAACCUCUUGCACCGCAUUGUUCUAUAGUGAAAGAUGGUUGUGCUAUCACUUAUCGAUGGACAUGCGCCGUAUGAGAUAGUUGGUACGGUAACGGCUUAUCACGGCGACGAUGCGUAGCCGACCUGAGAGGGGGAUAGGCCACACGAGAACGGAGACACGGUCAAGACUCCUGCGGGAGGCAGCAGUAGGGAAUGUGCCGCAAUGGGCGAAAGCCUGACGGAGCAACGCCGAGUGAGUGAUGAAGGGGCUCGGCGCGUAAAACUCUGUUAUUAGGGAAGAACAAAUGUGUAAGUAACUGUGCACGUCUUGACGGUACCUGAUCAGAAAGCCACGGCUAACUACGUG